GGGCAAUGAUGAGAAAAUUAGAGAAAGUCAUGCACCACGCUGAUUUUAAUUUGUGCUGAUAAGUCUCUCUACCCAUAUUUUUUUCUGAGCUC
Molecule: non-coding RNA, 92 nt
Organism: Gossypium hirsutum (cotton)
Lineage: Eukaryota; Viridiplantae; Streptophyta; Magnoliopsida; Malvales; Malvaceae
Source: Rfam